RNAcentral lists this ribosomal RNA (620 nucleotides) under uncultured bacterium. RNAcentral's name for it is "bacterial SSU rRNA". It matches the Rfam family "Bacterial small subunit ribosomal RNA", at positions 202 to 842 of the family's 1533-position model. The record is from RNAcentral.
AAAAACUCCGGUGGUAUGAGAUGGGCCCGCGUCUGAUUAGCUAGUUGGCGGGGUAACGGCCCACCAAGGCAACGAUCAGUAGCCGACCUGAGAGGGCGACCGGCCGCAUUGGGACUGAGACACGGCCCAAACUCCUACGGGAGGCAGCAGUGGGGAAUAUUGCACAAUGGGGGAAACCCUGAUGCAGCGACGCCGCGUGAGCGAUGAAGUAUUUCGGUAUGUAAAGCUCUAUCAGCAGGGAAGAAGAUGACGGUACCUGACUAAGAAGCCCCGGCUAACUACGUGCCAGCAGCCGCGGUAAUACGUAGGGGGCAAGCGUUAUCCGGAUUUACUGGGUGUAAAGGGAGCGUAGACGGCGGUGCAAGCCAGAUGUGAAAGCCCGGGGCUCAACCCCGGGACUGCAUUUGGAACUGUAUGGCUGGAGUGUCGGAGAGGCAGGCGGAAUUCCUAGUGUAGCGGUGAAAUGCGUAGAUAUUAGGAGGAACACCAGUGGCGAAGGCGGCCUGCUGGACGAUGACUGACGUUGAGGCUCGAAAGCGUGGGGAGCAAACAGGAUUAGAUACCCUGGUAGUCCACGCCGUAAACGAUGACUACUAGGUGUCGGGCAGCAAAGCUGUUCG